Carassius auratus (goldfish) is the source of this 319-nucleotide long non-coding RNA. RefSeq lists it as uncharacterized. The record is from RefSeq and is a predicted model, not a curated record. The transcript is spliced from 3 exons. NCBI's taxonomy places the organism in Eukaryota, Metazoa, Chordata, Actinopteri, Cypriniformes, Cyprinidae.
UGAAGGGUAACUAGAAAUCAGGUUAGUUUUAAUUAGGGUUGGAGCUGAACUCUGCUGCAGCUGUCCUGAACCCUUCUUACCCAGCUAUUCAUUGUAGAUAACCAUUUUAUCAUUUUAUCAUUGUCCAUUUGUGUCAUUUCAGAUUACAACACCGUUUUAGCGAUCAAAUGUAACUUACUCUGUGUUCUUCCUUGGUAGUCACCUGAGGGUCUCAAGACAGUAAAGGUGGAUGAGCACUCCAGCUGUCGCUAUGAUGGUCCGCCUGAGAGAUGCCCACUGGAGCUGAGAAAGAUGGAGUGGGGUGAGCAACACACCAGCU